Molecule: long non-coding RNA, 674 nt
Organism: Daucus carota subsp. sativus
Lineage: Eukaryota; Viridiplantae; Streptophyta; Magnoliopsida; Apiales; Apiaceae
Exons: 4
Source: RefSeq, a predicted model, not a curated record
UUAGUUACAAUUUCAAAAAAACCAUUCCUGAUAUCUUGCUUCUUGCUUCGUAGAUAGAAAUUGAGAGAAGAUUGUUUUGCAGAAAAGGAAAUUGUUAUCCUUGGCUUUCUAGGGCUGGUGAAGGAAUUGGGGCAAUUGAACAUCGAGUACUUUAACGGAGACAAUAAGUGAAGGACAAAGAAAGCAUUUUCAUUUUUUUGUGUGGAUAUAUGAACCGAAAUUACAAUUGGUGAGAAAGUGAUGUCUUUAGACGAUGCAGAACGUAUAAGUUAUGCAGAAGUAUAAAUUCUGCAAUUGAUUUUCAUGUCCUGAAUCUUACAUGGGAAUGCAGCAUCGUGGAAGAGUGGCCUUCGCCCUGAGAUGGAAAAUCAAAGCAGUGUCCUCCACAAGCUCAGAGUAAUAUAUGCACAAUGCUCACAUGGUCUGAGAACAAAAGAAGAUGGACCGUGCUUAAAAAGAUGGUGCAGUUUAGAACAAAAAAAUUGUGUGAAUAAUUCUGUAAUCAAUCAUGUUAUUGAUCCCACGUUCAUUGGUUCUUUUAGAACAAGUUGAUAUUUGAGUUGUUUGGAUUGAAUGGAAUGAUUUUAUUUAUUUCUAAACUCUUGUAAGGUUGACAAUGUCAAUGGUUUAGCAGGAUUUAUAUUAAUUAGUAGAAGGCUGUGUUGUUUCUGUGA